GGCCGGUGAUGGACUUCGGAUGAUGUUGGGGAGGUUCGGUAGACAUCGAAGGUGAUCGGUCGUUGUAGGAAUCCAACUGCUGGAGCCCGAUCGUCGUAGAAGCUUGUCCAAUAUCCAAUCGCUAUAGAAGUUCGAUCGAAGUCUGGUUCUUAUAGAAGGCUGAAAGGAGACCGCCUAUUGUAGAAGCUCGGUCGAAGAUCGGUUGUCGCGGGAUCCGACUACGAAGAAGCUCAGCUGAAGUCUACCUGUAAUGAAAGUUCAG
This 262-nucleotide long non-coding RNA is filed under the name Elaeis guineensis (African oil palm). RNAcentral's name for it is "long non-coding RNA (EGUI_LNC053491)". The record is from RNAcentral. Lineage: Eukaryota; Viridiplantae; Streptophyta; Magnoliopsida; Arecales; Arecaceae.